Molecule: non-coding RNA, 537 nt
Organism: Pseudopodoces humilis (Tibetan ground-tit)
Lineage: Eukaryota; Metazoa; Chordata; Aves; Passeriformes; Paridae
Source: RefSeq, a predicted model, not a curated record
CUGCUGCUGUCGGGAGCUGCCGCCGCGGGUGCGAGCUCCGGAGAAGACAGACCCAUGGACUCUCGUUAGUGUAUCAGCACUGACACUGCCUGAAGUCAAGUGGCAGCAGGAGUGGCAUGUCCAGACAUAAGCAGAGCCAGCAGCUUUUUCUGCCUCACUUGUACUCAAGAGCCUUCUAUUUAGAAGCCACUUCAAGCUCUUCUGCUCUCCUUCAUGUUGAACAUGAGCCUUGUUAUGAUCAUUGAGAAUGUGAAGUUGGCCCGUGAAUAUGCCUUACUGGGAAAUUAUGACUCUGCAAUGGUCUACUACCAGGGAGUUCUUGACCAAAUGAAUAAGUAUCUGUACUCUGUGAGAGAUACCUACCUGCAACAGAAGUGGCAGCAGGUUUGGCAGGAGAUAAGUGUGGAAGCUAAGCAUGUGAAAGAUAUAAUGAAAACACUGGAGAGUUUUAAACUAGACAAUACUCCACUGAAAGCCUCACAACAAGAAUUACCAGCUCAUGAUGCAGAAGUCUGGUCUUUGCCAGUACCUGCUGAA